RNAcentral lists this long non-coding RNA (1640 nucleotides) under Naja naja (Indian cobra). Its description in RNAcentral is "lncRNA (ENSNNAG00000013190.1)". The record is from RNAcentral. Lineage: Eukaryota; Metazoa; Chordata; Lepidosauria; Squamata; Elapidae.
GACCCUUUCUCCUUUAUGGCCAUGUCAGAAAAUAAAAGAGAAAGAGAGAAAAGGUUGCAAAAAGAACCAGCAGGCAGGAGCAAACAGUAUAAUGAGGCAGGGAGUAUGGGAUAGCUUUUGGCUUCAACAGUGUCUGCAGAAUGGAGGCAAACUAGAUGUGUAUCAAAAAUCAGCCACAGUAGGAGGUAUCCGUCUCCCAGGUAAUGGCUAAAUGACAAGCAGAUGAGCCGCCAUCAUAUUGAUUUAAGCAUUUUGUUCCAGCCAGUCACAAUUAACUUUGAUUUGUUUUUACUUUCCUCUUACAGGUUUGCAUUUAAAGCACUCUGAGAGCACUAAUUGUAUAACAUUUUACAAACUGCACAUUCUCUUUCUGGAGAGGUAAUGAAUGAGUGGAAAAGGCUGGAAUUUAUUUGACAUUCUAGGCAGGAGCUUUUUCUGAGUACUUCUUGCUCUGUGUGAAAUUGGGAUGGAAGGGCAUUUUACCUUGUCACCAGAGGUGGUAUUCAGCAGGUUCUGACCAGUUUGGAGAACUGGUAGCAGACAUUCUGAGUAGUUCAGAGAAUUGGCAAAUACCACCUCUUACUGGCCCCACUCCCAUCUAUUCUCUGCCUCCCAAGUGGCAGCUGAUUGGCUGGGUCUUCUUUUGUUGCCCUGCACAGGAGAACGGAGCUGGAAAGCAGGUUAGUGGGAUGGGGAGGGAAUGGAAUUUUGCAGUAACCUUCCCCCAGGAGUGGGGAGGGAAUGGGGAUUUUACAAUAUCCUUCCCCUGCCUUGCCCACCAAGCCAUGCCCACCAAGCCAUGCCACACCCACAGAACCAGUAGUAAAAUUUUUUGAAUCCCAUCACUGCUUGUCACUCAAUGAUGGUGUUAACACAGCAUGCAAGCCCUAGCCCCCAUAUUUGGCUAAUAGCUAUUGUCUAUAUUUUUACAGAAGCCUUUUUAUCUACCAUUUGGAAGGAAACAGCCCAAAGAACUUUCCGGUUGACAACCAGCUAUUGGUUCAUAGAAUAAUAAGGCUAAAUAUCACUCAAUGAUUGGCUAUUUAUUUAUCCAAUUUCUACAAGGUCCAUCCCAAAAAGCCAGAAGUGAAAUGUCUUCAAGGAAAAGCAAAAAAGGUCUACUUGCCAAUUUAACAAAACACCUUUGGGACAACCAUGACCUGGAUGACCGAGAAUCUCCAUAGAUGACUGAAUGUUAGGUUAUCACUGGAGAAGAGAGUGAAGAAAAAGAAAAAAGAAAAGCAAUAUUUAUAGAAGCGUCUUUGCAACGGUGACAUAGUUAACUCUGUUUCUGUUGUCCCAUACACAUCCCAUUUUAAUCAAGAAAUCCAGUGGGAUAAGGAAUUCUUCCUAAUAUUUUAAAUGCCCAUUAAAUGAUGGCAUAUCUUUUAGCCAGCAAAAAAUUCAUCAAGGAAGUAGACAAAUAAAAAAAAACCAAACAGAUUAAUUUUUACAAGGCAAAGUUUAAGACAUGUAUUGUAUGCCCUUUCUCCUACAGAACAUACCUUAAACUUUAAGAUUUUAAAACAGUGCUUGAGUUUUGCUGCGUUCACACCAGCUGAAAUUAUCCUCCUUUUUGCUGCUAAUUAUUAAUAUGUUCAGUACUGUAAGUGAAAAUAAAAAUAUGUUCCUAAUUAAAG